Molecule: ribosomal RNA, 458 nt
Filed under: uncultured bacterium
Lineage: Bacteria
Description: partial 16S ribosomal RNA
Rfam family: Bacterial small subunit ribosomal RNA
Source: RNAcentral
CCUACGGGUGGCAGCAGUGGGGAAUAUUGCACAAUGGGGGAAACCCUGAUGCAGCGACGCCGCGUGAGUGAAGAAGUAAUUCGUUACGUAAAGCUCUAUCAGCAGGGAAGAAACACUGACCUUACGGUCAGCAGACGGUACCUGAGUAAGAAGCCCCGGCUAACUACGUGCCAGCAGCCGCGGUAAUACGUAGGGGGCAAGCGUUAUCCGGAUUUACUGGGUGUAAAGGGAGCGUAGACGGUGCGCCAAGUCUGGAGUGAAAUGCCGCAGCUUAACUGCGGAACUGCUUUUGAAACUGGCGAACUAGAGUGCGGGAGGGGUAAGCGGAAUUCCUAGGGUAGCGGUGAAAUGCGUAGAUAGUAGGAGGAACACCGGUGGCGAAGGCGGCUUACUGGACCGUAACUGACGUUGAGGCUCGAAAGCGUGGGGAGCAAACAGGAUUAGAUACCCGGGUAGUC